Molecule: transfer RNA, 74 nt
Organism: Lysobacter sp. Root494
Lineage: Bacteria; Pseudomonadati; Pseudomonadota; Gammaproteobacteria; Lysobacterales; Lysobacteraceae
Rfam family: tRNA
About the family: Transfer RNA (tRNA) molecules are approximately 80 nucleotides in length. Their secondary structure includes four short double-helical elements and three loops (D, anti-codon, and T loops).
Source: Rfam
GCCCGAAUAGCUCAGCCGGUUAGAGCACUUGACUGUUAAUCAGGGGGUCGUUGGUUCGAGUCCAACUUCGGGCG